This 603-nucleotide ribosomal RNA is filed under the name uncultured Actinomycetes bacterium. RNAcentral's name for it is "bacterial SSU rRNA". It matches the Rfam family "Bacterial small subunit ribosomal RNA", at positions 252 to 866 of the family's 1533-position model. Lineage: Bacteria; Bacillati; Actinomycetota; Actinomycetes. The record is from RNAcentral.
GUGGGGUAAUGGCCUACCAAGGCGACGACGGGUAGCCGACCUGAGAGGGUGACCGGUCACACUGGGACUGAGACACGGCCCAGACUCCUACGGGAGGCAGCAGUGGGGAAUAUUGCACAAUGGGCGAAAGCCUGAUGCAGCGACGCCGCGUGAGGGAUGACGGCCUUCGGGUUGUAAACCUCUUUCAGCAGGGACGAAGCGCAAGUGACGGUACCUGCAGAAGAAGCACCGGCUAACUACGUGCCAGCAGCCGCGGUAAUACGUAGGGUGCAAGCGUUGUCCGGAAUUACUGGGCGUAAAGAGUUCGUAGGCGGUUUGUCGCGUCGUUUGUGAAAACCAGCAGCUCAACUGCUGGCUUGCAGGCGAUACGGACAGACUUGAGUACUGCAGGGGAGACUGGAAUUCCUGGUGUAGCGGUGAAAUGCGCAGAUAUCAGGAGGAACACCGGUGGCGAAGGCGGGUCUCUGGGCAGUAACUGACGCUGAGGAACGAAAGCGUGGGUAGCGAACAGGAUUAGAUACCCUGGUAGUCCACGCCGUAAACGGUGGGCGCUAGGUGUGGGUUCCUUCCACGGAAUCCGUGCCGUAGCUAACGCAUUAAGCG